GUGCUCACUUCAGCAGCACAUGUCCUAAAACUGCACCAAAAGAUCAGUGUGGCCCCUACCCAAAGAUGACACAAAAAUUUGUGAAGUGUUACCUUUUUUU
Small nuclear RNA from Pteropus vampyrus (large flying fox), 100 nucleotides. NCBI's taxonomy places the organism in Eukaryota, Metazoa, Chordata, Mammalia, Chiroptera, Pteropodidae. The record is from Ensembl.